This 253-nucleotide ribosomal RNA is filed under the name uncultured bacterium. Its description in RNAcentral is "partial 16S ribosomal RNA". It matches the Rfam family "Bacterial small subunit ribosomal RNA", at positions 524 to 776 of the family's 1533-position model. The record is from RNAcentral.
UACGUAGGGUCCGAGCGUUGUCUGGAAUUAUUGGGCGUAAAGGGCUCGUAGGCGGUUUGUCGCGUCGGGAGUGAAAACACGGGGCUUAACCCCGUGCCUGCUUCCGAUACGGGCAGACUAGAGGUAUGCAGGGGAGAACGGAAUUCCUGGUGUAGCGGUGAAAUGCGCAGAUAUCAGGAGGAACACCGGUGGCGAAGGCGGUUCUCUGGGCAUUACCUGACGCUGAGGAGCGAAAGUGUGGGGAGCGAACAGG